UACGUAGGGUGCGAGCGUUGUCCGGAAUUAUUGGGCGUAAAGAGCUCGUAGGCGGUCUGUCGCGUCGGUCGUGAAAACCUGCAGCUUAACUGUGGGCGUGCGGUCGAUACGGGCAUGACUGGAGUUCGGCAGGGGAGACUGGAAUUCCUGGUGUAGCGGUGAAAUGCGCAGAUAUCAGGAGGAACACCGGUGGCGAAGGCGGGUCUCUGGGCAACUACUGACGCUGAGGAGCGAAAGCGUGGGGAGCGAACAGG
RNAcentral lists this ribosomal RNA (254 nucleotides) under uncultured bacterium. Its description in RNAcentral is "partial 16S ribosomal RNA". It matches the Rfam family "Bacterial small subunit ribosomal RNA", at positions 524 to 776 of the family's 1533-position model. The record is from RNAcentral.